RNAcentral lists this long non-coding RNA (813 nucleotides) under Malus domestica (apple). Its description in RNAcentral is "long non-coding RNA (MDOM_LNC002676)". The record is from RNAcentral. Lineage: Eukaryota; Viridiplantae; Streptophyta; Magnoliopsida; Rosales; Rosaceae.
CAAGAUUUAGGUUAUUCCCAAACCCCAGAAAUAAAUUGUUGACUGGCUUUUUAAGAUUGUCAAAAGCAUUUCAGUUACCCUGGUAGUUGGUGGUGCAAUAUAACUCACAAACUUUCAAUAUAUGUUUCUAUAACGACAGAAGGUAUUUGUCUAAUGAAAGGCGCGUUAAUGUGGACUGUGGAAUAUGUAAGGAUGUCUGUAUUCUGGAAAUCAAAGGUUAGAGCAUUAUUGCUUCAUGUCACUAAUAGUAGUUACCAUGUUUCGUAGAUUUAUAUUCUGGAUUUUUUUCUAUAGUUGUGUCUGUUCUGGCGUUGCUCUCAUUGUUGUCACUUUUGUUAAGGAUAUUUCUGUAAUCAAAUCACAGUUAUGGUGAAUUCUUGGAAUUAUUACUUAUGACAAUUCUUAACUCUCCAGCUUCCUUUCUGUUGGAAUUUAUUAAGUUUAUUUAGGAAAUUAAUUAGAGAUUUGAUUUGAUUUUGUAGUAGGGUAUUUUUGGCAUUUACGCAUUAGGGUUUCUUAGGUUUAUUGCUCUAUAAAUAGAGCUUGUAAUUUAGUUUGAGAAUCAAGCUAGUCACAAUGUAGUCUCUUAGGGUUUUAUAGCCGUUUCGGCAUUCUCGUUCUUUUAAUAAUAUUCUUUCUAUUUUGUUAGUCUUGUUCGUUGCACACUUUAAUAUUCAACUUAGUAUCGGAACGGGUUCGAUCCUUAGGAUUCAAUCCGUUCUCGUUGGUAUCAAUUUGUUUGCCUCUGUCGUUGUUCGUUUUAGAUUUGUUAGUUGGUAUUGAUUGUUUGUAAGGAAAAGAAAAAUGAAAGAG